Molecule: ribosomal RNA, 506 nt
Filed under: uncultured bacterium
Lineage: Bacteria
Description: partial 16S ribosomal RNA
Rfam family: Bacterial small subunit ribosomal RNA
Source: RNAcentral
AUUGAACGCUGGCGGCAGGCCUAACACAUGCAAGUCGAGCGGCAGCGGAAAGCAGCUUGCUACUUUGCCGGCGAGCGGCGGACGGGUGAGUAAUGUCUGGGAAACUGCCUGAUGGAGGGGGAUAACUACUGGAAACGGUAGCUAAUACCGCAUAAUGUCGCAAGACCAAAGAGGGGGACCUUCGGGCCUCUUGCCAUCAGAUGUGCCCAGAUGGGAUUAGCUAGUAGGUGGGGUAACGGCUCACCUAGGCGACGAUCCCUGGCUGGUCUGAGAGGAUGACCAGCCACACUGGAACUGAGACACGGUCCAGACUCCUACGGGAGGCUGCAGUGGGGAAUAUUGCACAAUGGGCGCAAGCCUGAUGCAGCCAUGCCGCGUGUAUGAAGAAGGCCUUCGGGUUGUAAAGUACUUUCAGCGGGGAGGAAGGUGUUGAGGUUAAUAACCUCAGCAAUUGACGUUACCCGCAGAAGAAGCACCGGCUAACUCCGUGCCAGCCGCCGCAGUAA